AUUAGUUUGAAAGGAAAAAAACAGCCUGAAUGUCAGUUUUCAUUUCACCGCUUUCCUCUUUUAGUCCACUUUUUCAUGUGUUUUUUUCAAUAGUAAUUCACAAAUGGUGUGGUGGAGGUGUGUGGACUUACUUGGACACAAAUGGUGUGUGGACUUACUUGGACACAAAUGGUGUGUGGACUUACUUGGACACAAAUGGUGUGUGGACUUACUUGGACACAAAUGGUGUGGUGGAGGUGUGUGGACUUAGUUGGACACAAAAGGUGUGGUGGAGGUGUGUGGACUUACUUGGAC
Non-coding RNA from Nerophis lumbriciformis (worm pipefish), 294 nucleotides. The record is from RefSeq and is a predicted model, not a curated record. Lineage: Eukaryota; Metazoa; Chordata; Actinopteri; Syngnathiformes; Syngnathidae.